AUUGAACGCUGGCGGAACGCUUUACACAUGCAAGUCGAACGGUAACGCGGAGAGAAGCUUGCUUCUCUCCGGCGACGAGUGGCGAACGGGUGAGUAAUACAUCGGAACGUGUCCGCUCGUGGGGGACAACCAGCCGAAAGGUUGGCUAAUACCGCAUGAGUUCUACGGAAGAAAGAGGGGGACCCGCAAGGGCCUCUCGCGAGCGGAGCGGCCGAUGACUGAUUAGCCGGUUGGUGAGGUAACGGCUCACCAAAGCAACGAUCAGUAGCUGGUCUGAGAGGACGACCAGCCACACUGGGACUGAGACACGGCCCAGACUCCUACGGGAGGCAGCAGGGGGGAAUUUUGGACAAUGGGCGCAAGCCUGAUCCAGCUAUUCCGCGUGUGGGAUGAAGGCCCUCGGGUUGUAAACCACUUUUGUAGAGAACGAAAAGACACCUUCGAAUAAAGGGUGUUGCUGACGGUACUCUAAGAAUAAGCACCGGCUAACUACGUGCCAGCAGCCGCGGUAAUACGUAGGGUGCGAGCGUUAAUCGGAAUUACUGGGCGUAAAGGGUGCGCAGGCGGUUGAGUAAGACAGAUGUGAAAUCCCCGAGCUUAACUCGGGAAUGGCAUAUGUGACUGCUCGACUAGAGUGUGUCAGAGGGAGGUGGAAUUCCACGUGUAGCAGUGAAAUGCGUAGAUAUGUGGAAGAACACCGAUGGCGAAGGCAGCCUCCUGGGACAUAACUGACGCUCAGGCACGAAAGCGUGGGGAGCANACAGG
Molecule: ribosomal RNA, 765 nt
Filed under: uncultured bacterium
Lineage: Bacteria
Description: bacterial SSU rRNA
Rfam family: Bacterial small subunit ribosomal RNA
Source: RNAcentral